CGCUUUUCCCGCUGCCCAGGCCCGGCUCAGGCCCUGAACCCGCAGCGCUGUGGACGCGCGAACGCACCGCUCUGGACGGUCAGCCCGUCUUCCCUGGACAUUUCCAAACAUCCCCUGGGGGCAAUUCCAAAGCAGCCUACCUUUGAAGCCACUGUUCUAAAGACAGAACUCUUCCUCCAACAGGAACACAGCGUUAACCUAUUUUAUUCAUUGACUUGAGAUUGAAAUCAAAGAAUGAAAUGCAACGUUGCUGAAAACCAGACCAUCUUAAAAUCAAAGUGUGAUGCUCUGGGUGCAAGUCAGACACUGGUCCACUGUGCCUCCUCAUUGCAGGGACACAUACCACACUCUGGCUGGUCUCGGGGAUGCCCUUCUUGACUUGAGAUGAAGAAAGAAGCAUCCCCAUCAUACUCCCUUUGUGCAUAUUGGAAAGGACCCAGAGAGCACCUCUCUCCAAAUACAUUUCCUUCAAAAUUUUUUCUCUCAGUUUCAACUCUUUUAUGUAUUUGACUUGGCUGAAGUAGUCAAGAGUUGUAUAAACAGUUUUCAUCCUAAUUUGUAAGCCCUCUGGGGUGGUCUGUCUUAUAACUCACUUUGGUAUUUAACAUCUAUUGUCUUUAUGUCUUAGCCAAAACUGGGAAAGAAACCCAUUUUUAUAUAUUUUAUACGUGAAGAGCAUUUAUAACACUGUUUAAUAAGUGUUAGCUAUUAUUACUAUCCUGGACAUAAAACAAGACAUGGGUAGUUUAAGAUAAGUGGAACUAAAACAAAAAAAACCACUCAGGUUGUCUUUCUUUAACAAAUAGCCUUGGAUAAUAAAUUUUAUGUUUUCUACAUAGAAGAGAUUUUGCUCUAUUUGGGAUACAUUAACUACAGUUAAACUUAAGCAGAGCAAUGGACUCAUGAUUUCUUAUUUCUAGUUAGUGAUGCUUUGAAACUGAGCCACACUAAGCAACGUUUUGUGCAGCAGCAAUUGUGACUGGACUGAUAUGUUCACAAGAGAGCUCAUAAGCAAUGACAUCCCCAUAGAAAUGAAUACACUGGUUUCCAAAUAUUAUUCUUCAUUAAAAGGAACCAGGACUCCUUAGAUAAAUGGCUGGUUCCAGGGCCAGGGCAGGGUAAAUGUAUGACGAAUUUGAAACAUUUUAUUGCACAAGAAAGUAGAGACAUGCUUAAAAUAUGACAGGAACAUGUCAAAAGGACACAGGAACUGGCUUGAAGGGACUCUCUUGGGCAAAUCUGGGUCAAUUUAAGCAUUAAAAAAAUUUAUAGUAAUGGAUUAUAAUCCCUUGAAUAAAAUAGGAAGCCAUGAGUC
Miniopterus natalensis is the source of this 1315-nucleotide non-coding RNA. Lineage: Eukaryota; Metazoa; Chordata; Mammalia; Chiroptera; Miniopteridae. The record is from RefSeq and is a predicted model, not a curated record.